ACUCCUACGGGAGGCAGCAGUGGGGAAUAUUGCACAAUGGGCGCAAGCCUGAUGCAGCCAUGCCGCGUGUGUGAAGAAGGCCCUUCGGGUUGUAAAGCACUUUCAGUCGUGAGGAAGGUAGUGUAGUUAAUAGCUGCAUUAUUUGACGUUAGCGACAGAAGAAGCACCGGCUAACUCCGUGCCAGCAGCCGCGGUAAUACGGAGGGUGCGAGCGUUAAUCGGAAUUACUGGGCGUAAAGCGCAUGCAGGUGGUUUGUUAAGUCAGAUGUGAAAGCCCGGGGCUCGAACCUCGGAAUAGCAUUUGAAACUGGCAGACUAGAGUACUGUAGAGGGGGUAGGAAA
RNAcentral lists this ribosomal RNA (342 nucleotides) under uncultured bacterium. Its description in RNAcentral is "bacterial SSU rRNA". It matches the Rfam family "Bacterial small subunit ribosomal RNA", at positions 335 to 667 of the family's 1533-position model. The record is from RNAcentral.